Molecule: ribosomal RNA, 873 nt
Filed under: Triticum aestivum (bread wheat)
Lineage: Eukaryota; Viridiplantae; Streptophyta; Magnoliopsida; Poales; Poaceae
Description: partial small subunit ribosomal RNA
Source: RNAcentral
AUGGCGGGGAAUGGCAACGGAGGACAGCCAAGCGACGCUCCGGCUCCAGCGCCGGCCUCGCCGCUGCCAGGUGGACGCGUACCGGUUGCAGCCGACGUCGGGGUGCAGGAGGACGUACAGCAGGAAGAAGAGAACCCAGCGCUGCCCGCUCACGGUGCUGGCCUCGGCGGAGGCGUCCCUGUGCCAGUCGGCGUCGUCGUGCAUGAGGAGGUGCCACAGGACCCAGCGCCGGCCGCUCAGGAUGCAGCCGACGUGGGCUUGCUUGAGGCGCUGGUACCCGAAGACGAAGAUGAUACCCCCCCGACGCCGGAUCAAGAAGAUGGAGGUGUUGUCAAUCAGGACUUACAAGAUCUGCAGGACAAACUAGAUGCCCCUGAACCCGAUGUGACCGGACACCAAGUCGAGGGGUCAAGCUUCAUGAGGGAGCUGGAGAAAGUGCUGGCCCCAGGACCCGCACACAAGAAACAAAGAACUGACAACAUUCUCCCUCCACCACCGGGACAGGUGGCCGUCGGGGGUACUGCAGCGGCCAUCCAAUUUGUCCCAAAUCACGUGCCGGCUGUGGGCGGAGGGCCAGGCGGCGUGCUCAUGGCUGCAGGCAUGGGUCCAGGUGUUGCCUCUAACCCAGGUGCUCAGUUUGCCAGCAUCCCUCGGCCUCCAAACCUGAGUCAGCUGCCCUUGUGUCCUGGCUGCAACAUCCGGCCGCCAGUGAUAAAUAUUGUAGGACGAUCAAUGCUACCGCCCGCUGUUUUACCUCCGCACCCAUGUUUGUGCAAUCCGUGCUUCUAUGGAGCACCAGAUCGGCGGGAGAUUGAUUGCCCUGUGUGUGCUGAGUACUAUGGACUGUACCCAUGGAGAUCAAGAAGGGUUUGA